This 566-nucleotide ribosomal RNA is filed under the name uncultured bacterium. Its description in RNAcentral is "bacterial SSU rRNA". It matches the Rfam family "Bacterial small subunit ribosomal RNA", at positions 338 to 917 of the family's 1533-position model. The record is from RNAcentral.
CCUACGGGAGGCAGCAGUGGGGAAUUUUCCGCAAUGGGCGAAAGCCUGACGGAGCGACGCUGCGUGAAGGAUGACGGCCUGAGGGUUGUAAACUUCUUUUCUCGAAGAAGAAUCAAUGACGGUAUUCGAGGAAUAAGCAUCGGCUAACUCUGUGCCAGCAGCCGCGGUAAGACAGAGGAUGCAAGUGUUAUUCGGAUUGAUUGGGCGUAAAGCGUCUGUAGGCGGUUUAGAAAGUCUUUUGUGAAAUACUUCAGCUCAACUGGGGACCCGCAAAAGAAACUUCUAGACUUGAGGGGAGUAGAGGUACAGGGAAUUUCCGGUGGAGCGGUGAAAUGCGUAGAUAUCGGAAGGAACACCAAUAUGGCGAAGGCACUGUACUGGGCUUUACCUGACGCUAAGAGACGAAAGCUAAAGGAGUGAUUAGGAUUAGAUACCCUAGUAAUUUUAGCCGUAAACGAUGGAAACUCACUGCCGAGCCGGUAUUCGGAGCGGUGGUCAAGCUAACGCGUGAAGUUUCCCGCCUGGGGAUUACGCUUGCAAAUGUGAAACUCAAAGGAAUUGACGGA